This 1037-nucleotide long non-coding RNA is filed under the name Olea europaea subsp. europaea. Lineage: Eukaryota; Viridiplantae; Streptophyta; Magnoliopsida; Lamiales; Oleaceae. The record is from RNAcentral.
UCAACCCUUAAAAACACACACACACACACACACAUUUCCUUAAAAGAAUAAUGCUAUAUAGUACCAAGUAAUAGCACUUGUGUCAUUAAAUCAUAUACUCAAACAAAUAUAAUGAUUUAUGACAUUUUAUAUAACUUCUAUAUGUUGAUAUCUAGACCAAUAUUCGAUUCCAUUGAUAUUAAAUAAAAGGAACGACCGUCACUAUUAAUCGGAAUAAGUGGUCAAGAAUUAAUGGGCCAAUGGCUGAGAAAUUGUCUACAAAAUAUCUUCAAGAACGAGUAGCCACUGUCUUCAGUCUUAUCCAAUGAUACACAAGUGGAUUCAGCCCUAUCAGAAUUUAUAUUGCCCCCUCUCAACUCAAAAAUAUUUGUCCAAAUUGGCAACAAUUUCAAUAUUUUGAUGGCAAGGGCACAAGUAGGGAGAUGACAAUUUACUAGGGAGUAUAUUUAAGCUUUUGCAGUUUCCUUUUCCUACAUGUUUGCAGGUCUGCAUCUGUACCGUGAAAAGUUUACUACAUUUUUUAAAUUCAAAAAUAAUUCAAUUAAGCAUGUUGAUGAAGAGGAAUUCCGCAUUACAAUUUAGAAUGAACUUUUACUUCACAAUUUAAUUAACUAAGGCGAAAAGUUAUUGUCAAAAUUAAUAUCAAUUAAAUUCUCAAAUCAUAAAAUAUAAAAAAUGCUCAAGUACUAAAAAUAAAUAAAUAAAAAUUCAGGCCGUUUCAACAAACUGCUAAAAAAAAAAAACUUGGAUUUUUCUAAUACUCAAUAAUCAAUAUUACACGUAUAUAUAUGCGCGCGCGCGCGCACAUACACACAGACAAGAAUAAUGUUACUAAACUUUGAAUUUCGAAACCGAAAAUACUUACCAGUUGUCCAGCUCAAAAUCCACUAUGGAGUAAAAGAACUUUUAAGAGAUGAAAUAUUUGAUUUGGAUAAUGGGUUCCUUAAUUUUGUAGAAAUUUUAUGGGGAAUUGAAAAUUUGAAAGUUUGAAGACUUCGAUUGCCUAUAACGGGUUGGAGAAUGGAUAGGAAUUGCCG